This 460-nucleotide ribosomal RNA is filed under the name uncultured bacterium. RNAcentral's name for it is "partial 16S ribosomal RNA". It matches the Rfam family "Bacterial small subunit ribosomal RNA", at positions 338 to 795 of the family's 1533-position model. The record is from RNAcentral.
CCUACGGGUGGCAGCAGUGAGGAAUAUUGGUCAAUGGGCGCGAGCCUGAACCAGCCAAGUAGCGUGAAGGAUGACUGUCCUACGGGUUGUAAACUUCUUUUAUAAAGGAAUAAAGUGAGGCACGUGUGCCUCUUUGUAUGUACUUUAUGAACAAGGAUCGGCUAACUCCGUGCCAGCAGCCGCGGUAAUACGGAGGAUCCGAGCGUUAACCGGAUUUAUUGGGUUUAAAGGGAGCGUAGGUGGGUUGUUAAGUCAGGUGUGAAAGUUUGGGGCUCAACCGCAGAAUUGCAUUUGAUACUGGCAGUCUUGAGUGCAGUUGAGGUAGGCGGAAUUCGUGGUGUAGCAGUGAAAUGCUUAGAUAUCGCGAAGAACUCCGAUUGCGAAGGCAGCUUACUGGACUACAACUGACGUUGAGGCUCGAAAGUGUGGGUAUCAAACAGGAUUAGAUACCCGAGUAGUC